Small nuclear RNA from Suricata suricatta (meerkat), 102 nucleotides. NCBI's taxonomy places the organism in Eukaryota, Metazoa, Chordata, Mammalia, Carnivora, Herpestidae. The record is from Ensembl.
GGGCUCGCUUUGACAGCACAUACACUAAAAUUGCAACAAUACAGAUUAGCACGGCCCCUGCACAAGGGUGACAUGCAAAUCUGCGAGGUGUUCCAGUAAAAG